This 460-nucleotide ribosomal RNA is filed under the name uncultured bacterium. RNAcentral's name for it is "partial 16S ribosomal RNA". It matches the Rfam family "Bacterial small subunit ribosomal RNA", at positions 338 to 795 of the family's 1533-position model. The record is from RNAcentral.
CCUACGGGAGGCAGCAGUGAGGAAUAUUGGUCAAUGGGCGGGAGCCUGAACCAGCCAAGUCGCGUGAGGGAAGACGGUCCUAUGGAUUGUAAACCUCUUUAGGCGGGGAGCAAUGCCGGGCACGCGUGCCCGGAGGGAGAGUACCCGCAGAAUAAGCAUCGGCGAACCCCGUGCCAGCAGCCGCGGUAAUACGGAGGAUGCAGGCGUUAUCCGGAUUUUUUGGGUUUAAGGGGUGCGUAGGCGGAUUUUUAAGUCAGGGGUAAAAUGUCCGGGUUAAACCCGGGCCGGCCGUUGAAACUGGGGAUCUUGAGUGGGCGAGAGGUAUGCGGAAUGCGUGGUGUAGCGGUGAAAUGCAUAGAUAUCACGCAGAACUCCGAUUGCGAAGGCAGCAUACCGGCGCCCGACUGACGCUGAGGCACGAAAGCGUGGGGAUCGAACAGGAUUAGAUACCCUUGUAGUC